AAAGCCGCUUCUCUUGAAACNGUGGACANCUNACUNUUGCCACUGAAUAUAACCCCGGGGAGCUGGAUAUAAUACCCAAUCGGUCUCUAUUGCUGGAAUGCAUCUGAGAUUAAAAGCUCCGGCACCUAAGGAUGGGUCUGCGGCCUAUCAGGUAGUAGUGGGUGUACUCGUACCUACUAGCCUACGCACGGGUACGGGGUAUGAGACAUCACGAGCCCGGAAAAUGAUUCUGAGACACGAAUCCUGGCCCUACGGGGUGCAACAGGCGCGAAAACUUUACAAUGCUGGAAACAGCGAUAAGGGGACCUCGAGUGCCAGGUUACAAAUCUGGCUGUCGUGAUGCCUAAAAAGCAUAGCAUAGCAAGGGCCGGGCAAGACCGGUGCCAGCCGCCGCGGUAACACCGGCGGCUCGAGUGGUAACCGUUAUUAUUGGGUCUCAAGGGUCUGUAGCCGGCCGGAUAAGUCUCUUGGGAAAUCUGGCAGCUUAACUGUCAGGCUUUCAGGAGAUACUGUCUGGCUCGAGGCCGGGAGAGGUGAGAGGUACUUCAGGGGUAGGGGUGAAAUCUUGUAAUCCUUGAAGGACCACCAGUGGCGAAGGCGUCUCACCAGAACGGACCUGACGGCAAGGGACGAAAGCUAGGGGCACGAACCGGAUUAGAUACCCGGGUAGUCCUAGCCGUAAACGAUACUCGCUAGGUGUCGGCCACGGUGCGACCGUUGUCGGUGCCGUAGGGAAGCCGUGAAGCGAGCCACCUGGGAAGUACGGCCGCAAG
This 773-nucleotide ribosomal RNA is filed under the name uncultured archaeon. Its description in RNAcentral is "bacterial SSU rRNA". It matches the Rfam family "Archaeal small subunit ribosomal RNA", at positions 78 to 847 of the family's 1478-position model. The record is from RNAcentral.